Molecule: long non-coding RNA, 241 nt
Filed under: Gossypium raimondii (Peruvian cotton)
Lineage: Eukaryota; Viridiplantae; Streptophyta; Magnoliopsida; Malvales; Malvaceae
Description: long non-coding RNA (GRAI_LNC005093)
Source: RNAcentral
UUGUAACCCUGUUUCGGCGACGGUUUGGGGUUGGGGGUGUUACAGUUGUUGGUAUUAGAGCUAUCAGGUUUAACCGAUUCUCGGACUAAAUCGGGCUCAUAAUUGAGUCUAGAUGUACAUGCCACUAUCGAGUCAAACUGAGUCGGGAUUUUUGGAUGCAGACCUAUUUGUUUGCUUUGUUUUAUAGAUUAAAGAUGUCUGAAGAAAGAAUAAAUGAUACUGAUGAAAGAAUGUAUACUGA